GACGAACGCUGGCGGCGUGCUUAACACAUGCAAGUCGAACGGAAAGGCCCUGCUUUUGUGGGGUGCUCGAGUCGCGAACGGGUGAGUAACACGUGAGUAACCUGCCCUUGACUUUGGGAUAACUUCAGGAAACUGGGGCUAAUACCGGAUAGGAUCUCCUGCUGCAUGGUGGGGGUUGGAAAGUUUCGGCGGUUGGGGAUGGACUCGCGGCUUAUCAGCUUGUUGGUGGGGUAGUGGCUUACCAAGGCUUUGACGGGUAGCCGGCCUGAGAGGGUGACCGGCCACAUUGGGACUGAGAUACGGCCCAGACUCCUACGGGAGGCAGCAGUGGGGAAUAUUGCACAAUGGGCGGAAGCCUGAUGCAGCAACGCCGCGUGCGGGAUGACGGCCUUCGGGUUGUAAACCGCUUUCGCCUGUGACGAAGCGUGAGUGACGGUAAUGGGUAAAGAAGCACCGGCUAACUACGUG
Molecule: ribosomal RNA, 468 nt
Filed under: uncultured bacterium
Lineage: Bacteria
Description: partial 16S ribosomal RNA
Rfam family: Bacterial small subunit ribosomal RNA
Source: RNAcentral